GUGCGUUAAAGCACUGAGCUGGAGACCGAAAGGUCCCAGGUUCAAACCCCGGGAGCGGUGGGAGCGGCCGCUGUUAGCUCCAGCUCCUGCCAACCUAGCAGUUCGAAAACAUGCCAACGUGAGUAGAUCAAUAGGUACCGCUCCGGCGGGAAGGUAACAGCGCUCCAUGCAGUCAUGCCAGUGGCCACAUGACCUUGGAGGUGUCUACGGACAAUGCCGGCUCUUCGGCUUAGAAAUGGAGAUCAGCACCAACCCCCAGAGUCAGACAUGACUGGACCUAACAUCAGGGGAAAACCUUUACUUUACCUUAAACCUGGCUUUCAUAUCUCCUUCUAUCCUUCUCAAAAUUAAACAGAAUAGAAUCAUAGAGUUGGAAGAGACCACAGGGAGCAUCCGGUCCAAUGUCAUCCUGUCAUUCUGCAAAAUCAAAGCACCUCUGACAGAUGAACAUCCAACCUUGGUUUAAAAGCCCCCAAGAAAGAAGUUUUCGCCACACUCCAAGACAGAGUCCCACUUGUUGGGCAUCUCCACCUCUCUGCCGAAUUAAUUUAAUAGAAAAGGCAUUUUCACUUCUAACUCCAUUUGCCGCAACUGGAAUAAACUCAGGACCAGUGGGGAAGACGAGGGGAAGAGAGAAACCAGGACACUUUAAAAGCAGCCGAGAAAGUGGGAUGGCAGAGGAGGAAUAGGAACUGUCAGUAUUUGGAAGCUCCUGGAAUAAAAGCAAGCUCACAAAGGCAAAUCCUUGGAUACAGCUUGAUUUCAGUCUUACCAUUGGCAAUAGAAAGACAACUCUGAAGAGUUCCCGCGAAUUCAGUAUAGUAUAUUAUUCUGCUAACCCAUGCCCCCUCCCACUAGCUACAUUCCAUUCCCACCAGCAUUAUCCUACAAUUUCGUUAUUCCCCAGUCCAGAUGGCCCUUAUCUCAUAUAUGCUCCCAUCCAUUCUCCCAGCCUUCCUCUCUCCACAACCAUAUCACAGGGUAGACGGAGCAACUUGUUCUAAGCUGGUACGGACAUCCUGACAGGGACAACUUUCUGCCAAAUUGGGAGAGUUGAAGGACACGCAAUAACCUUAGUUAGAACUAGAGUUUAUGUUUGAUAAUAAAAACACCAUUAUCAAAGAAGAACUAGAAUUUAAAUAGAAUCUCAUUUAAUGAGUAGAAUAAAAAGGCAUAUGUCAAAUACUGAAAACAAGAGCGAACAGGAAAUGCGGAUUUCGUCAUCAUGCACCAUUGGAUCUCUUACAAGAUACUGAUCCUGACAUUUAGAGCUCGAAAUGGCCAAGGACCAUUAUAUCUCAGGAACUGCCUCAUUCCUUUUUUCCAUCAGUGGUCACCUCGAUCCUCCCAGGAAAAUCUCCCAUAUGUACCGGGCCCUAGGGAGAUACGCCUGGAAGCUACAAGGCACAGAGCCUUUUCGGCCGAUGCUCCAAUUCUGUGGAACUCAUGGCCUCCAUAUGUUAGAGCAAUGUCGGAGUUGCAACCUUUUGUAAAAGCACUCAAGACUUGGCUGUUUGAUUGUGCGUUUAAGUAAAUCAGAUCUAAUUUGCCAAAUAGUCACUGUUGAAUGUUUUUAGGUUGAAUGUUUUUUAUGUUGAAUGUUUUUUAUAUUGUGGAAUGAUAUUUUAAAUUGUAAGUCGCUCGGAGCACUCUGGUGGAGAGCGACUAAUUAAGAAAUAAAGUGAAGUGAAGUGAACUACAAAUCUUGAACUGGACUUUUGGGAGCAGAAGAGGAUCUGACUUGCGCAGAAAAAAAGGCAGAGGAAUUUAUUAUUGAAUCUCCUUCAAAGUCUCGGCCUGUACCAAGGUCCAAUUCUUUCCAUAUUUUGGGGGUUUAUUUAAAGUCCUUCAAAGAAAGUGACUCAACUGGAUUCUCAGGCUGCCGUACAUCCCAUGGCUGAACAGCUCUUACUGUAAGGUAGUUCUUAUUAAUUGAAUCAUGUCCACUGGCACUGAGAACAAAGCAUGCAAAAACAGAGACACAUGAAGACACACCAGAAUGACUGGUUUGAGUGUUGGAUGGGACUCGCAUCGCUUGGCCAUGGAAAAUGACUUGUUGUCUUUGGGCAAGUAACUCUCUCAGCAACACAGAAAGGCAGGAUUCUCUAGCACUGAGCAAUGGCAGUUAAAAGUGGUGUCAAAUUGUGGUAGGUCUGUGUUGUAUAUCUGUCCAAAAAGUCUGGAUUCCUCCAAGGCGGAUUUAAGAAAUAAUAGAGAGCAAACUAAAGAAGGUGUUUUUGAAGACAUUGUCUCAUUCUCUUUGUGCCUGGUUUUUGUAAAACCCUGAUGGAGAAAAGACACGCCUUGUAAUCUGGGUUACAGACAGGUGCUUAUAGAUUCACAUCAAAAUCCUUUCCAAGCAAGAGCUUAUAAACAUGUUUUGCUCGCUUGCCCUCACUACAGAUACAAGACUUAUCUCAUGAGGAAAAUAGGCCUCAGAUGUCAAAAGAGUAUGGGAAGAAGUGGGAGAGAUUUGUACAACGCAGAAAAUCCCAGCCGCUCCAACAUGCUUCUGCCAACUUUUUACCCAAAACGAGGACAGUAUGUAUUUGAAACGAAAAAAGAAAGGAUUUGAAACAAAACAAGAAAGGAUACGCAUCCCUUAUCCGGAAAUCAGAAAUGGUCUCCCUGGCUACCUCAGAGUGAGGCCUUUGCUUUCUGAUGCCUCAAUGUACUCAAACUUUGUUUUGUGAACAAAAUGAUGAAAAAAAUAAGGAACUUCAGGCCAUGUUUAUAGGAUCUCCAAGAUCAGGUUGUACAUAUGUCUGUGCAUAUAUAGGUGUGUCGAAAUCCGGCACAAUGUCCUGUGGGCGAUGCCACGUUUGUCAGAGCUGUGGGGCCAAUGAGAGUUUUGCCGGAGGAGAGCAGAUGGCAGGGCAGGGCUGGCAAGUCUCUCCUCGCCAAGUGCCAUCUGGCUUCAGCCGGCCCUCUGGGAGAGUUUGAAAACAGGGCCUUUUGUCCUCCUCCUGUUUUCUAGGCUCUGCUCUUUUCAGACUCCCAAUUAGCCUCUUUCUUGCAUAUGGUGGCAAGAGGGGACUGAGACAACAAGGGAGGAAAUCCGGAGCAAAACCAAAAAGAAACCUCUCACCAACCAGCUGGCGCCCCUGAUAUAACACCAUUUUAACCAUGGCUGAGUCACCACUGUGAAUGGGAGAAUGAGAUUAAGAUACAUUGAGAUGAACACUCAAUUUUCCCUUCUGAAAAGGGGGAGAACAGAAAUGAAUUAGGACAUCUAUGAAGGAAACUGGGCUUGAUCCUAAAGUGUACAGGGAAACAUGGUAACAACUUCUGCACAUUGAUAGCAAAAAAGUAACUGUUUCCAGCUGAGUGAUGUUGGUCCUUCUCGCAAUGACUUGAAAGCACCUUCCAAGAUGCAUCCAGAGACUAUUGUGUUUCUUUCACCAAUCUCUUGUUGCUUUGAGAUCUGCCUUGGGUCACAGCAUUGGGAGACUGGCAAAAAAUACAUUAAAGUAAUGGUUUGAAAAUAAUGCUGCUUCACCAUCUUUCCCUCAUGAAGGGAAGACAAUCCACACUGUCUGAACAAUAGUAGUAGUAUCCAUGUGGAUCUUCGUUCUGGCUUUUAAAAACACAGCAACUGCUUUGUCAUCUAAAAGAGAAGCAAGCAGAUACCCAUUCACCGCACAAUCCAGAAGAAAUAAAAACUGAUGAUGGCUGGGAUUCUGUUUGAAAGCAGAAACUGAAGCCGUAAGUUAUUCUCAGGAAAAGAUACACACAUAUGCAUGUUUAAAUUAAAGGAGAACCGUUCUCUUUCCAGCCCUGGCUGAGGCCCAAGAGUGAGUUCACGUUUGAGGAAUGCCGUCUCCCGCUGUCUGUUUAGAAAGGCUUUUUCCCCGGAGACUCAACGGCCCCAUUCACGGCAUUUGCGUUGCGCCAACAUGGCGACACAUCUAACAAACCCAGUGGUCCUUCAUUCACUUCUGAGGAAAUGAAGCCGGUGGAAACAAGAAAAAAGACCUCUCUUCAAAAGUCCAUCCAGGGUGACAGGUCGGGAAGGACCUUAAAGUGACAUUUGGUGCUGUACAAGUCCAUUAAAACUUCAAUAUCCUUUUUGAAACCUUCCAAUAUGGUCCUUUGUAGAUGAAUUUAGUCAAGAUGGUAACUCUCAUCAUCUGCAGUUAGUUUGGACGGAUGGAAACUGUUGACCAAGACCCUCAGAGGACACAUUUAAGGUGCCAUAAAGAUGAAGUGCUUUUGAAUGUGGAGUUAAGACUCCACAACUACCAUUAAGAGCAUCUAUUACAUUUAUGUGCUUUACAGGGUGAAAAGGCAUCAUUUAUAUAAAAAAGAAAGUGAAGAAAUAUAAGUUUUGGCCCAUUUUAACAAGUUGGAGAUUCUAACGGGUUUUUUUCCUGUGUCAGGAGCGACUUGAGAAACUGCAAGUCGCUUCUGGUGUGAGGACGCUGCCCAGGGGACGCCCGGAUGUUUUACCAUCCUUGUGGGAGGCUUCUCUCAUGUCCCCGCAUGGAGCUGGAGCUGAUAGAGGGAGCUCAUCCACGCUCUCCCCGGGUGGGAUUCGAACCUGGCAGCCUUCAGGUCAGCAACCCAACCUUCAAGUUUCAAGGGGGUGGUUUUUCAGGGGCUUUCCAUAAAAAGGGAACCCACAAUGGACUUUCAGUUUCCCUACUUGGAAUAUAUCCCCAAGGCCACAAGGUUGUAAAAGGGAGACUAUUUAAAUGCAAGUGGUAAAUCCCAGGUUAUUAUUAGAAAGCAGAAUUAUAACAGAAUGGAAUGCAAUGCCAAGGGCUAUGGGUGGUGGUUUCCAAAAGAGACAAAUUUGAGGAUAGGGCUAUCUACUGUCAUUGAAGACCAACUCCAGAGAUUCUGAACAAAUUGUUGUGGCAAGAAAACUCAACGAUACCGUUUCUCAUGGUCAACUUGAAGACACACAACACAGCAGAGAACAAUGGAAAAUGGCUGCCGCCUUCAUAGACUUCCAGUGAUCUUUAUAGCUGGUCGCAGUUAGGAAUGAGAUACUGGAUGUGUCGCCCGCCUUUUUAUUUCUUUCAACUGCUUCUUGGCAGGGGGUUAGACUGGAUGGCCCAUGAGGUCUCUUCCAACUCUUAUCAUUCUAUGAUCCUAGGGUCAGGAAGAAAACUACACACUUCCAAGCCUGCUUCUGAGCUUCCAGAGAAGAAAUCCUGCAUUAGAAAGACCUGUGCUUUGAUCCAACACGGGUGUUAUUUCAUUCUGACAUCCGUUACACAUUUUAAGCAGAAAAAUUAAAUCCUAAUUCCGCAAAAGAACAGGAAUUACCUCUCUAAAAUUAUAAGCAUCUACCUUGGGCCAACUGUGGGGAGGAAGGUGUGGCAUAACUUAAACAGAUGUAAUAUUGUAUUGAUAUAGUGGGCAUGUCCCUGUGCAAUUAUGAUCCCAUCCAGGCAAACCGGAAAAACCAGGAAGUCCCUGGUUUUGUUCCUUUUCUUUGGAGAUCUAAGUGAUGUUUUCCUUGUCCCAAAGCCAUGAAAACUCCCAGCGAACUCCCGGAAUUAUUAAAACGUUCAGCUCCCAGAUCCUUAGUUUAUUUCAAUUAGCCCAAUAUUUCCUGAAAUGUACCUGGUUGCUUUGUGCAGGAUCCCUCCCUGGAGAAUGUCCUAAAGAAGAGGGAGAAGGUUUGAUUUCUGCUGUCCUGGAGACUAGAACCCAAUGGAACCAUGGUUUCAAAAAUUAGGAUGAACUUCUUGACCGUAAGAAGAGCUGUUUAACAGUGGAACUCUCUCAGUCUUGUGGAGGCUUUUAAAUAGAGGCUGGAUGGUCAUCUUUCGGUGGUGCUUUGAUUGUGCUUUUCCUGCAUGGCAGGAAGGGGUUGGACUGGAAUCCUUGGGGUCUCCUCCAGUUUUAGGACUCUAUGAGGCAGGAAGACUAUAGUCAGGACUUACUACUCCCUCUGCUAUACCCAAUACCAUCUUAUUUACAGGUACUUGUACUGCAUUACCCUAAAAUUCACAAAAAUAAAAAAUACUGCAUUUUUCAGAUCAAGGGAAUUGUGAAAGGACUUGAAUUAGAAAAAAGUUUCAGUGGAAAUGGGUGACAUUCAAUUUCUGAAGGGUUGCCAUGAGUCUGGAUGUGAUAAAUGAUCAGUGGAAGUGAAGAGAGGAACAGAAAGGAACGGAGAGACAAGGAAAAAGCUUGCAUACAAAACCACGAAGAUGCAAAAGAAAAAAAUACUUUCAGAUUUUUCUUCCUUUCUUUCUGGAAGAGCUCUAUGAGAAGCAUGUAUUAAUCUUGACAGGGAUAAAAAGGAAUGUCCACUCGCAGGCACCCUCUUUCACCCUUUCAGGAGACUCCCUCCCCCAUUUUUCCAGGAUAAAAGCUUCCCUUCGCUUUCUUUCGCAGGGCCUCUCUUAUUACAGGAAAAGCCAGAGCGCUGACUUCACCCGGGAGGAAUGGUGUUAACAUUUGGAUAAGCUUUAUUUUUCACUCUGGGAACAGAAAGUGAAAAGCAGCUGUGCUAAAAGCGUCCAGGAAAAACACUGGGCUCUGGGAAGAUCAUGCUAGAUCCCAGGCAAAAGGAAGCCAUUGUCUGAGAGAAGAUAAGCUUGGGAAACAAGUCAAAAAAAUCUUGCAAACAAAUGGUGGGAGUUCCUUUGGUGAUCUAGCCUUGAGAUUCCGGAAGAGGGAAGUUCAACAUUCUUGGAGAGUAUUGAUUCCUGUGCCAGGACCUUCCCUCGGUUAUUUUCCAGUAAAGUAAACCGUUUAAACCCAUCCCCACAGUUAGUUCCACAGAGAUUGUUUGAAUCGAUUGCGGAACUCAGUUGAGCAAAGCUUUCCACUUCCUCAAAGCAACACAGUUUUUUUUUUUUAGCUCUUGUUGAUUAUUUCACUAUUGGCUUUUCAGCCUGCUCUUCCUCAAAAACAAUACACAUGUACACAACUCCUUCCUUUCUCAGUUCAUGUGACUAACAAUCAGUGCUAAACAAUUAAAAAUGGGAACAAAAUAAUCUGCUAUGUGAAUGCGAGGCAAAACUUUUGUAUCUUAAUAUUGGAAAUACUGGAUUCAGAUACACAUGAUGCUAGAAGGUAUUGUAAAAGUUAUGAAUGACAAUGAAACUUGAAUUGCAUUUGUUGGGGAUGCUGGAUGGCCUAUUAGAAAAGAACUAUCGAAGAUUACAAUUACAAAUGAUUACAGCAAUGAACAUCCUCUCCACCCAGGGAUGAAAAGAACCAGAUAUACCAACACAAGAUUAGCUGAUGAAGAGAUGUGAAUUAAAAGAGAUGGACAAACUGAUGAUGUUGAUUAAUAUUAAGGAGAAAUAUACAACAAAGAUGGGUUAUAAAGUUCUCUGAUAUAGAAGUGUGUUAUUAAAAGUACAAAGGCAGAGAAAGUAAUUCCUGAGGACUGACAAAUAAGAAAUUUAAUCAAUAGGCAACGAGCAGGAGGCUGGUAAUUAGUUAAGUAGGUGUUUGUUCAGAAGGUGUAUCAGUUGUAUAAAGGUGUGCUUGUUACUCUUGUAUACAAUUAAAUUGGUUUUGCUUUUUA
Long non-coding RNA from Anolis carolinensis (green anole), 7498 nucleotides. RefSeq lists it as uncharacterized. NCBI's taxonomy places the organism in Eukaryota, Metazoa, Chordata, Lepidosauria, Squamata, Anolidae. The transcript is spliced from 2 exons. The record is from RefSeq and is a predicted model, not a curated record.